Ailuropoda melanoleuca (giant panda) is the source of this 56-nucleotide small nucleolar RNA. Its record names the gene SNORD116. It matches the Rfam family "Small nucleolar RNA SNORD116". From Rfam's summary of the family: HBII-85 is a member of the C/D class of snoRNAs, which contain the C (UGAUGA) and D (CUGA) box motifs. HBII-85 is encoded in a tandemly repeated array with another C/D snoRNA, HBII-52, in the Prader-Willi syndrome (PWS) region of chromosome 15. NCBI's taxonomy places the organism in Eukaryota, Metazoa, Chordata, Mammalia, Carnivora, Ursidae. The record is from Ensembl.
GGAUCGAUGAUGACUCCCUCAUUCUGCAUUCCUUGGAAAAGCUGAACAAAAUGAGU